Molecule: ribosomal RNA, 391 nt
Filed under: uncultured bacterium
Lineage: Bacteria
Description: bacterial SSU rRNA
Rfam family: Bacterial small subunit ribosomal RNA
Source: RNAcentral
GACGAGCGCUGGCGGCGUGCUUAACACAUGCAAGUCGAGCGGUAAGGCCCUUUCGGGGGUACACGAGCGGCGAACGGGUGAGUAACACGUGGGUGACCUGCCCUCAGCUCUGGGAUAAGCCUGGGAAACCGGGGUCUAAUACUGGAUAUGACUCCAUGACGCAUGUUGUGGGGUGGAAAGCCUUGUGCGGCUGAGGAUGGGCCCGCGGCCUAUCAGCUUGUUGGUGGGGUGAUGGCCUACCAAGGCGACGACGGGUAGCCGGCCUGAGAGGCGACCGGCCACACUGGGACUGAGACACGGCCCAGACUCCUACGGGAGGCAGCAGUGGGGAAUCUUGCGCAAUGGGCGAAAGCCUGACGCAGCGACGCCGCGUGAGGGAUGACGGCCUGGU